UAGCCGUAAACUAUGCUCGCUAGGUGUCAGGGACGGUGCGACCGUUUCUGGUGCCGCAGGGAAGCCGUGAAGCGAGCCACCUGGGAAGUACGGUCGCAAGGCUGAAACUUAAAGGAAUUGGCGGGGGGAGCACUACAACGGGUGGAGCCUGCGGUUUAAUUUGGACUCAACGCCGGAAACUCACCGGGGGCGGACAGUAAUAUGUAGGUCAGGCUGAUGACCUUGCCUGAUUUUCCGAGAGGAGGUGCAUGGCGUAGUCGUGU
Molecule: ribosomal RNA, 263 nt
Filed under: uncultured archaeon
Lineage: Archaea
Description: partial 16S ribosomal RNA
Rfam family: Archaeal small subunit ribosomal RNA
Source: RNAcentral